This 1680-nucleotide long non-coding RNA is filed under the name Medicago truncatula (barrel medic). RNAcentral's name for it is "long non-coding RNA (MTRU_LNC008897)". Lineage: Eukaryota; Viridiplantae; Streptophyta; Magnoliopsida; Fabales; Fabaceae. The record is from RNAcentral.
AUUUAUGCAGAAUAAAGAUGCAUGAAGACAUAUCCAGCAAAGUCCUUAAAAAAAGGAAAAAGAUCACAACGGAUAAGGUUGAAUGGAGGAGAAUUUUGAGGUACGUUCACAAAUUUUAAGAUUUUGGUAAAUUUGUUUUCUAAAUUGAUAACUUAAAUUUCAUUUUUAAGAAUAAAAAUUUUAUUUGUCGAGUUUUGCAUUUAGAUCACUAUUUCAUAAAACAAAAAAAAAAAAAAAAACCUUUUUUCUGUAUUUUUAUGUGUUAACCUUUUCUUCGAGAGACAACACUUUGAGAUUUAAAGUUUUCUUUAACUCUGGUUUACUCUAGGAGUCUAAGGGUUAAGGCCAUUAAAUAUAUCGUGUUAUCUAUUUUUAGAUAAGUUAAAACAUGUCUUAAAACCUAUUUUAAAAACUUAAAGCAUCUACAAUGGAGAUCUUAAAAACUUAUUUAAAUGGUUCAAUGUUUGAAUUGUUUUUUGAUCUUUAUAUCUGAUAUAAAUUUUAAUAUAAAUAAAAAAUAAAUUUUAAUAAAUAUGCAUAAACAUGCAUGCCUAUCAAAUUUUGUAUGUUUUUUUUUGUAUAGCUUAAACUUACCUGUUUAAGUAGAUAGACUUUUUGAAAAGUUUAAACUUAAUUUUUUAAUAAACAUACAUGUAAACCAGUUUUAUCUAUUCUCAACCCUAUCUUUAGCCUAACUCACCUAAAAGUUUUAGAUGUAAAUAAAUAAACAAUAAUAUGAAAUGUUUGGUGUUAGGGCUUUAUUCUCAUGAAAAUUAUCUAGUGAAACAGUUGGUUAUUAAUUUAUAGGUGCGACUUUUCUAUUAAUUUUAUGGAUCAAUCCAACUCAUUUCCUUUAGGGUAUGUUUGGUUGACAAAAGAAAGUGAAAGGAGAAAAAGAUCAUGGAAAGUGAGAUGAUUUGUCUAGUUGUUCGGUAAAAGUGAAAGUGAAAAGAAAGUGUGAGAGAAAGAAAGGAGUAUAGUUAUGAAAAGACAUAAAUAUCCUUGAACAUAAUAAAAUAUAUUACAAAAAUAAGAUAAUUAAGAAUAAUAGUACCCUAAUUAAAUAAAUACUCAAAUAUAAAAUAGCUCAAGAUUGGUUGAUAACACAUUAUGACCAUAUUUUAAUAUAAUUUAGUAGUUAACUUUUCUUAAAUUUAAAAAUGAUAAAUAAAGUACUAAUUGUUGUUUAUUUAUUUAUUUAUAAUAAAAUAAAAGGAUGGUAGGUAUUAUGGUCUUUUUCUUCAAAAAGUAGUAAUCUGCAUCCUUUCUGUCCUAUGAUGUGCGGAAACAUAUUUGAGGUGGGUCCCACCCAAACUUUCCAUCCUCUUGUGCUUUUUAUGUUAUUCCAAACUGAGGAAGGAUGUUGGAAUCCGUUCCUUCUUUCCUACUUCAAUCUUUCCUUCAUGUUUCUAGUCUAACCAAACACACCCUUAGUGAGUCAAUCCAGUUAAGUAAUCUAAAUCCAAUAUCCCUUGGAGUGUUUUCAUUUGAAUGCAUUAUUUGAGUUGGUCUGAUCACGUUGGUUUGAGACUUUAAAGUAUGUUUUUUUUUUUUUUUUCUAAGGUCUCAAUUCUCUCUGGGAUUAAUUUGGAUGAACUUAUUUAACUUCUUAAAAGAAAAAGUAAAUUAUACUCUCAUCCGCUAAUAGAAGAUUGAAUUACACCCAUCCUCUCUUAUAUU